Molecule: long non-coding RNA, 287 nt
Organism: Homo sapiens (human)
Lineage: Eukaryota; Metazoa; Chordata; Mammalia; Primates; Hominidae
Exons: 3
Source: RefSeq, a predicted model, not a curated record
CACCACCACAAUGAUGCCAUUUGUGAAAAUCCCAAGAAGAAAUUGUAUCACUGCAAGAAGAAAAUAGAUAAUGAGGUUUACCUAGCUUUCAAAGUCAUCACAGGCAAAUAAUGGAAUCAGACACCUUCAGACAGCUGGGAGAACAGCUCCUCCAUAGUAAUUAGCCAAAGAUACUCAAUUCUUCAUCUCUACUAUGAAUAAUUGAUUUUGCCUACAGGACCAUCUAUGCCAUCUUGGACUCACUCUGUUCUUCCUGACACAACUACAGUGAGAUGAAGGAAAGAGAC